This 69-nucleotide transfer RNA is filed under the name Fukomys damarensis (Damara mole-rat). It matches the Rfam family "tRNA". From Rfam's summary of the family: Transfer RNA (tRNA) molecules are approximately 80 nucleotides in length. Their secondary structure includes four short double-helical elements and three loops (D, anti-codon, and T loops). Lineage: Eukaryota; Metazoa; Chordata; Mammalia; Rodentia; Bathyergidae. The record is from Rfam by way of RNAcentral.
GGGGAUGUAGCUUAGCGGUGUAGUGCCUGCCUGGCAAGCAUGAAGCUCUGAGUUCGAUUCCCAGUACCA